AUGCUUUGCUUGUAUGUUGAUGACAUACUAAUUUUCGGAACAAAUCUGAAUGUUAUUAAGGAGGUCAAGGAUUUCCUAUCUCGCUGUUUUGAGAUGAAGGAUUUAAGAGUGGCUGAUGUCAUUCUGAACAUCAAGUUGUUGAGAGAUGAUGAUGGUGGGAUUACAUUGCUUCAAUCUCACUAUGUGGAAAAGAUCUUGAGUCGCUUUGGCUAUAGUGACUACAAGCCCUCUCCAACACCAUAUGAUGCUAGCGUGCUGCUUCGAAAGAAUCGAAGAAUUGCUAGAGAUCAAUUGAAGUAUUCUCAGAUUAUUGGCUCGCUUAUGUACUUAGCAAGUGCUACAAGACCUGACAUCUCUUUUGCUGUUAGCAAACUGAGUCGGUUUGUUUCAAAACCAGGAGAUGUACAUUGGAAAGCUCUAGAGAGAGUUUUGCGUUAUUUGAAAGGCACUGCGAAUUAUGGAAUUCACUACACUGGGCAUCCAAAGGCGCUUGAAGGGUAUAGUGACUCAAACUGGAUCUCAGAUGCUGAUGAGAUAAAGGCCACUGUGAUCACUAAAGUGAGCAGCUCAAAGGAUAACAUGAAGUCAUCAAGGCACGUUCAGAGAAGGUUAAAGUCUGUCAGAAAAAUGAAAAACUCCGGAGUUAUUGCAUUGGAUUAUAUCCAAACGUCUAAAAAUCUGGCAGAUCCUUUUACUAAGGGUCUAUCACGUAAUGUUGAUGUAUAUCUUAAUGUGUUUUAA
Molecule: ribosomal RNA, 741 nt
Filed under: Triticum aestivum (bread wheat)
Lineage: Eukaryota; Viridiplantae; Streptophyta; Magnoliopsida; Poales; Poaceae
Description: partial small subunit ribosomal RNA
Source: RNAcentral